UCCUUUAACCAACGCCCAACCACUCACACAAACUCAUUAGACCCGCCCCUAAACCAAAACAUUUGACAAGCAUAGUAUGAGAGACAGAACUGCAUCUUGGCGCACAACAGUACCGCAAGGGAAACAAGAAAGAAAAAUUAAACACUUUAAAGCAAAAUAAGCAGAGAUUAAAACCCAUACCUCUUGCAUCAUGGUUUAACAAGUCAACCAUGGACAAAACGCCCCAUUUCUCUUAGCCCAUUACCCCGAAAUCAAGUGAGCUACCUCUAACCAACUUAUAAGAGUCAACCCGUCACUGUAGCAAAAGUGUGGGACGAGUUAGAGAUAGAAGUGAAAAGCCUAACGAACUCGACGAUAGCUGGUUAUCCACCAAAUGAACCUAAGUUCAACUUUAGACUCAUUAUGUCAAACCAUUCGACUCACAAUUUAGCCUAAAAGAUAAUCAAUGAGGGCACAGCCUCAUUGAAAAGGAAACAGCCCCAAUUAGAGAACCAUCUACCUUAUUUUCUCCCGUAGGCCUUAAAGCAGCCAACAAAAACAAAAUGCGUUACAGCAACAAACACCCACAAUACCACAGUAUAUAAACACCUCCUACUAUCCACUGGAUAAAUCUAUCAACAUAGAAUCACCCAUGUUAAAACUAGUAAUAAGAAAAAUUCUCUAGUGCACAAGAAAAUAUUAACAGACAUAAUAAAUUGAACCAAACAAAACACAAGAAAACCCUACCCACCAACACUGUUAACCCAACCCAGGCGUGCAUAAAGAAAGAUUAAAAGUUACAAAAGGAACUCGGCAAAUAAAGUCCCAACUGUUUACCAAAAACAUAGCCUUUAGCCCAACAAGUAUUAAAGGUAAUGCCUGCCCAGUGAUAUUUUCAACGGCCGCGGGAUCCUACACCGUGCAAAGGUAGCAUAAUCACUUGUCAUCUAAAUAAUGACUAGUAUGAAUGGCCCUAUGAGGACUUCCCUGUCUCUUGUAACCAAUCAAUGAAACUGAUCCCCCAGUCCAAAAGCUGGGAUAAAAUCACAAGACGAAAAGACCCUGUGGAACUUAUAAGUGCCAAUCAACAAAAUGACACAAUCACUUUUAGUUGGGGCAACUUUGGAACAAAACAAAACUUCCAAUUUAUGAUAAUAAUUUAACCCAAAAUUAGGUCCACACACCAACCUUUGACCAACAAUUGACCCAGUAUUACUGAUUAAAGAAACAAGCUACCCCAGGGAUAACAGCGCCAUCCCCUCUUAGAGCCCAAAUCGACGAGCGGGGCUUACGACCUCGAUGUUGGAUCAGGGCCCCCAAACAGUGCAGCAGCUGUUAAAGGUUUGUUUGUUCAACAAUUAAUGCCCUACGUGAUCUGAGUUAAGACCGGAGUAAUCCAGGUCGGUUUCUAUCUGUGCAAAAGUUUUUUCUAGUACGAAAGGACCGAAAAAACCAAGUCAAUGUUACAGACACACUUGCCAAUCACAAACUGACACCACUAAAAUUUUAAAUAGGCCAAAAUUAAUCAGCCCAAAACCAGGGCUUU
This 1525-nucleotide ribosomal RNA is filed under the name Aspidoscelis gularis. RNAcentral describes it as "16S ribosomal RNA". It matches the Rfam family "Bacterial large subunit ribosomal RNA", at positions 274 to 2854 of the family's 2925-position model. The record is from RNAcentral. Lineage: Eukaryota; Metazoa; Chordata; Lepidosauria; Squamata; Teiidae.